Molecule: small nuclear RNA, 107 nt
Organism: Microcebus murinus (gray mouse lemur)
Lineage: Eukaryota; Metazoa; Chordata; Mammalia; Primates; Cheirogaleidae
Source: Ensembl
GUGUUUGCUUCUGCAGCACAUAUACUAAAAUUGGAACCCUGCAGAGAAGAUUAGCAUGGUCCCUGCCCAAGGUAGACAUGCAAAUUGGUGAAGCAUUCCGUGUUUUG